Molecule: ribosomal RNA, 551 nt
Filed under: Allosergestes cf. pectinatus HBG8251
Lineage: Eukaryota; Metazoa; Arthropoda; Malacostraca; Decapoda; Sergestidae
Description: partial large subunit ribosomal RNA
Rfam family: Bacterial large subunit ribosomal RNA
Source: RNAcentral
GUCUGUGCGAAGGUAUGUAGAGUCUGGCCUGCCCACUGACUAAUAUUGUUUAAAGGGCCGCGGUAUUUUGACCGUGCGAAGGUAGCAUAAUCAUUAGUCUUUUAAUUAAAGGCUUGUAUGAAUGGUCGGACAAAAAGUAAGCUGUCUCCGGUUAUAAAAAUUGAAUUUGACUUUUAAGUGAAAAGGCUUAAAUAAAACAAAAUGACGAUAAGACCCUAUAAAGCUUUAAAGUGUAAUUUUUUAUUAAAAAUUAUGAAAUUGUAUAACUUAAUUUAAAUUAAAACUUUUUCGUUGGGGCGACGAAAAUAUAACAGCAUAACUGUUUUUACAUUAAUAAGACAGAUAUAUCUGGUUAUAAAUGAUCCUUUAUUAAAGAUUAAAAGUUUAAGUUACUUUAGGGAUAACAGCGUAAUCUUCUUUGAGAGUUCAUAUCGACAAGAAGGGUUGCGACCUCGAUGUUGAAUUAAGGUUCCUUUAUGGUGUAGCAGUUAUAACUGGAGGUCUGUUCGACCUUUAAACCCUUACAUGAUUUGAGUUCAGACCGGCGUAAG